UGUCGGAUUGUAUUUUCCUGCUGUAGACCAUUUUGAAACAGGGCAUAUUUCAAGUCAGGUGUACCAAACAAGAAACCCACGGCUAUUGCACAAAAAGACUCCUAACGAUCAAACGCAAUGAACCCAAUGGGCAAAGUUCGGAAAGGGAAGUCACUCACUUUGAAUUCAAUGCAUGGGAUUACACCAGUGACGUCGCGAAGUCGAGUAAGGAUUACCUUGAUCUUAGCAAAAGCGUUAACGCCAACUUAAGAGAAACUUCUAACCAAGGCCCGGUUCUUGUUCACUGUUUGGACGGGACUGGAAAAAGUGCCUUGUUUUGCGUUGUUUCAAUUCUGGUUGAAAAGAUGAAAAUAGAUCAAGAAGUCAGCGUUGUUAAUACCAUAAGGAAAGUCAGGUCCAGGCGUACAUCAACAAUCUCUAACAUG
This is a long non-coding RNA of Mya arenaria, 425 nucleotides long. RefSeq lists it as uncharacterized. NCBI's taxonomy places the organism in Eukaryota, Metazoa, Mollusca, Bivalvia, Myida, Myidae. The transcript has 3 exons. The record is from RefSeq and is a predicted model, not a curated record.